AGGGGCGAGUCCAUUUCCCAGGAGCGAAAGUUGUGGCCGUGAAGAGCCCCGGAGCCCUGUGAGCCCGGGCGAAAAUCCGAGCGGCGCAGGCGCAGUACUCAGCCCUUGGGCGGAGCUCGCGGUGGAGAGAGGAGAGUGGAGGAAGAUCGGAGCAGAGAGCCGGGGCUGACAGGGGCAGCGAGGUGCGGGCGGCGGAGCGGCGGGAUGCGGCGGUGCCGGGGCGCAGGGCUGGCCGGACUGGCCGCGGUGCUCCUGGUGGCUUCAGGCAGAGCCCAGGUGCAGCAGGAGCCGUCGGCAGAGACCACCGAGGGCACCGAAAUCAGCAUCAACUGCUCACACCCCACCAUACGGACCGGUGAUUACAUCUUCUGGUACCGUCUACUCCCGGGUCGAGGUCCCGAACUCCUCUUGUGGGGUACUAAAGGCUCCAGACCUCUGUCGGACCCGCCAGGACGGUUGUCGGUGGCGGCAGACCGCCGGUCCAGCGCCCUGUGGCUCGAACGGCCCCGGCGCGGGGACGCGGCGGUGUAUUACUGCGCCGUGGGAGACACGGGGAGAGGAGCCGGGGCUGCGGCCGGACACGAACCGCCGCGGGCGGGGCCGGGCGGGUGUGGCGGGGGCGGGGAGACAGUCCCUGAUGAGCCCGCCAGGGGGGGCUGCCGCUCCACCCGCAGGAGCCGCCUCGCCCCCUCUGGCACCGGGGCGAUUCCCCCGCCCGAGCAGCAGCGGCACCUGCAUCGAUAUUAACAUUACCACCAGCCGCACCCCCACAUGGACUCAGACCACUGAGUCUACAUGCUGAUCCUUCCUUCUGACCCUUCCGAAUGACAGAAGUUACCCAUCCACAGUUCUCCCUUGCUGAGGGCUGGUUUUGCUUCCCAGGAGGGGCAAAAUGCUGUAGUUGACAUCUCCACAGAGCCUCCUCAUGGCAGAGAUGGGCAGUGCCAAGCACACCUGAUGGAAAAGACUUUCUUCAUUCCCUGCCGUCACCUUUUUACACACAUUGAUAAUGUAACCCUGAGCCCUCUCUUCCCCAGGCUGAACACUGUCAGCCCUCUCAGAAUAUCCUCAUCGGAAAGACGCUCCAGUCCCUGCUGAUCACAGUCCAGUAUCUUUCUUUUAUUGGGGAGCCCAGAAGUGGAGUGAGCACUUCAGAGGUCACCUCAGCAGUAUUGAGUGGAGAGGAUCAGGUCCUUUGUCCUGCUGGUUGACUCUUCCUACUGCAGCCCAGGCUGCUGUUGGCCUUCCUUGCCAUGAGGGUCCAUUGCCACAGCAGACACAGGAAUUCCCCAGAGCUGCUGAAACUGAGCAGGACACAGCAGUGAGUAUUCAGGAGAAGUAUCCCAGCUGCUUGUCCAACUCUUACUCUUCCCUCAGCAUGCAGCAAUGUCCACUGUUGGAAAACAGGACUCUUGUUAGGAGAUGUGGCCUCCUGUGUCUUUACCUAUUUGCAAAACAAACAAACAAACAAAGCAAGACAAAACAAAAAAACAGAACACUGAGGGGAAGGUAAAUGUUGUCCUAGCCCUGCAUCUGGGGAUCAGUGAAAGUCUCAACAUGCAAGCAAGACCAGUCAGUCAGGCACUGGACAAGAGUUUCUGUUCAAAUAUUUGACCUGUUGCUCUGCUCUUCAUGUCUCUCCUCUGGCUCUGAGGGCUCACCAGUGCUUUGCUGGGAGGAUUACACCGUGUCUCUGCUGUUCUUUGCCUGACAGAAAAUGGCUGCUGGUUGUAUUUCUGGGGUGUGUGUUUCUGGGUCUAUUUUUCCCCUCUGUGCAUGUGUCUCAUUAUACUCAAUCCGUUUUGGAAAGCAAAGAGCUGGACCUGGAGAACAUGUUUGGUGGAAGUUGACAAAAGCAGCCAUGGUGACAGGCCAAUAUACUGUGCUUAAUGGAUUGAUGUCACAUCAGUAAACCCUUAUGGCUGGUGUUUGCAAUGAGGUCUUCUGAGGUGACAAAGAAAGCUCAGCUUUUGUGGAAGAGAGAGGGUGAGGGAUACAUGCAAAGGAGACAUGGGCCAAAGGGAAAGAGAAGUAGGCUGUCACAGAGGCACCCCAAAGUCAGUUUUAGGUGGAUCACAAGUUCCAAAACAGACUUUAUUCUAGCCAGAAAAGUGCAGACAAUAAACCUUCCAGAAACAGGGUUUAUACUCUUAGUUAGCACUCCGACAACAGAAAAUACCGGUUCGGAUAUCAGUUGAGGACAUUACUCGGGUAGAGCAAAAUAAGAAUAAUGAGGAUCCACAGCAUGCAUGCACACACUCAAAAGAAACAAAA
Molecule: non-coding RNA, 2274 nt
Organism: Columba livia (rock pigeon)
Lineage: Eukaryota; Metazoa; Chordata; Aves; Columbiformes; Columbidae
Source: the annotation of a RefSeq genome assembly